UGGGGAAUAUUGGGCAAUGGGCGCAAGCCUGACCCAGCAACGCCGCGUGAAGGAAGAAGGCUUUCGGGUUGUAAACUUCUUUUGUCAGGGACGAAGCAAGUGACGGUACCUGACGAAUAAGCCACGGCUAACUACGUGCCAGCAGCCGCGGUAAUACGUAGGUGGCAAGCGUUAUCCGGAUUUACUGGGUGUAAAGGGCGUGUAGGCGGGAAAGCAAGUCAGAUGUGAAAACUGUGGGCUCAACCCACAGCCUGCAUUUGAAACUGUUUUUCUUGAGUACUGGAGAGGCAGAUGGAAUUCCUAGUGUAGCGGUGAAAUGCGUAGAUAUUAGGAGGAACACCAGUGGCGAAGGCGAUCU
RNAcentral lists this ribosomal RNA (358 nucleotides) under uncultured Oscillospiraceae bacterium. Its description in RNAcentral is "bacterial SSU rRNA". It matches the Rfam family "Bacterial small subunit ribosomal RNA", at positions 355 to 727 of the family's 1533-position model. Lineage: Bacteria; Bacillati; Bacillota; Clostridia; Eubacteriales; Oscillospiraceae. The record is from RNAcentral.